UGGAUCCAGACUUUGAUCCUGGCUCAGGACGAACGCUGGCGGCGCGCCUAACACAUGCAAGUCGAACGGAGAUUACAGGCGGAAGUUUUCGGAUGGAAGCUUGUAAACUUAGUGGCGGACGGGUGAGUAACACGUGAGCAACCUGCCUAUCAGAGGGGGAUAACGAUUGGAAACGAUCGCUAAUACCGCAUGACAUAGCGGAACCGCAUGGUUCUGUUAUCAAAGAUUUUAUCGCUGAUAGAUGGGCUCGCGUCCGAUUAGAUAGUUGGUGGGGUAACGGCCUACCAAGUCGACGAUCGGUAGCCGGACUGAGAGGUCGAACGGCCACAUUGGGACUGAGACACGGCCCAGACUCCUACGGGAGGCAGCAGUGGGGGAUAUUGCACAAUGGGGGAAACCCUGAUGCAGCGACGCCGCGUGAGGGAAGACGGUCCUCUGGAUUGUAAACCUCUGUCUUCGGGGACGAAACGAGACGGUACCCGAGGAGGAAGCCACGGCUAACUACGUGCCAGCAGCCGCGGUAAUACGUAGGUGGCAAGCGUUGUCCGGAAUUACUGGGUGUAAAGGGAGCGUAGGCGGGCGGGCAAGUCAGGCGUGAAAUAUAUCGGCUCAACCGGUAACGGCGCUUGAAACUGCAGGUCUUGAGUGAAGUAGAGGUUGGCGGAAUUCCUAGUGUAGCGGUGAAAUGCGUAGAUAUUAGGAGGAACACCAGUGGCGAAGGCGGCCAACUGGGCUUUUACUGACGCUGAGGCUCGAAAGUGUGGGGAGCAAACAGGAUUAGAUACCCUGGUAGUCCACACCGUAAACGAUGAUUACUAGGUGUGGGGGGACUGACCCCUUCCGUGCCGGAGUUAACACAAUAAGUAAUCCACCUGGGGAGUACGGCCGCAAGGUUGCAACUCAAAUGAAUUGACGGA
RNAcentral lists this ribosomal RNA (917 nucleotides) under uncultured Bacillota bacterium. Its description in RNAcentral is "bacterial SSU rRNA". It matches the Rfam family "Bacterial small subunit ribosomal RNA", at positions 1 to 917 of the family's 1533-position model. Lineage: Bacteria; Bacillati; Bacillota. The record is from RNAcentral.